This 975-nucleotide ribosomal RNA is filed under the name human gut metagenome. RNAcentral's name for it is "bacterial LSU rRNA". It matches the Rfam family "Bacterial large subunit ribosomal RNA", at positions 1942 to 2925 of the family's 2925-position model. The record is from RNAcentral.
AUAACGGUCCUAAGGUAGCGAAAUUCCUUGUCGGGUAAGUUCCGACCUGCACGAAAGGCGCAACGAAUUGGGCGCUGUCUCGACCAUGGACCCGGUGAAAUUCCACUAGUCGUGAAGAUGCGACUUACCCGCGGAAGGACGGAAAGACCCCGUGAACCUUCACUGCAGCUUGGCAUUGGCCGCUGGCCCGUCGCGUAGAGGAUAGGCGGGAGGCUUCGAAGCCCGGGCGCCAGCCCGGGUGGAGCCGACCUUGGAAUACCGCCCUCGGCGCGCCGGCGUCCUAACCCCAUGCCGUCAUCCGGAUGGGGGACCGUGCCAGGUGGGUAGUUUGACUGGGGCGGUCGCCUCCUAAAGGGUAACGGAGGCGCGCGAAGGUCCGCUCGGGACGGUCGGCAACCGUCCUCUUGAGUGCAAGAGCAUAAGCGGGCUUGACUGCGAGGCCUACAAGCCGAGCAGGUGCGAAAGCAGGCUCUAGUGAUCCGGCGGCCCCGCGUGGGUGGGCCGUCGCUCAACGGAUAAAAGGUACUCCGGGGAUAACAGGCUGAUCUUGCCCAAGAGUCCACAUCGACGGCAAGGUUUGGCACCUCGAUGUCGGCUCAUCGCAUCCUGGGGCUGGAGCAGGUCCCAAGGGUACGGCUGUUCGCCGUUUAAAGCGGUACGCGAGCUGGGUUCAGAACGUCGUGAGACAGUUCGGUCCCUAUCCUCCGCGGGCGCAGGAGAAUCGAGGGAGGCUGCCCCUAGUACGAGAGGACCGGGGUGGACGCACCUCUGGUGAACCGGUUGUCGACCAACGGCACGGCCGGGUAGCCACGUGCGGCGCGGAUAACCGCUGAAGGCAUCUAAGCGGGAAGCCGUUCCCGAGAUCAGUUCUCCUUUCGGUAAGGGCCCAGGUAGACUACCUGGUCGAUAGGCCGCAGGUGCAAGCACGGCGACGUGCUCAGCCGAGCGGUACUAAUAGCCCGAGCUCUUACCCGC